AUACGUAGGCAGCAAGCGUUGUUCGGAAUUACUGGGCGUAAAGAGUGCGUAGGCGGUUGGCUAAGUUUGGUGUGAAAUCUCCCGGCUCAACUGGGAGGGUGCGCCGAAAACUGGCUGGCUAGAGUGCGGGAGAGGAUAGUGGAAUUCCUGGUGUAGCGGUGAAAUGCGUAGAUAUCAGGAGGAACACCUGAGGUGUAGACGGCUAUCUGGACCGUAACUGACGCUGAGGCACGAAAGCGUGGGGAGC
RNAcentral lists this ribosomal RNA (247 nucleotides) under uncultured bacterium. RNAcentral describes it as "partial 16S ribosomal RNA". It matches the Rfam family "Bacterial small subunit ribosomal RNA", at positions 523 to 769 of the family's 1533-position model. The record is from RNAcentral.